CCAGCAAAUCAUGGACCAAAAUCUCCAAACCCGCGAGUCAUAAUGCACCCUUGUCCUCUAUAGCUUGUCCACUCAGGUGUCACAGCCAUGAAAAGAGGGCAGCACAGACAUGAAGCACCGUCCCGGAUGUGGCGAAGAGUGAGGAGCCUUAUCUCUGCUGCUGACCUCUGUGUGACCAGGGCCUUUGGGAGAACGAGUGUGAGGACCCUGGAAGGCGCUUUGCCAGGCCGAUCCGGCUGUCCUGCGGUGGGGACACCCACUGGGUUCUACGAGGCGACUUGCACCAAGUCCAAGACCUGAGUGCUGAUGCCACCCGAGUCAAAGGGACCUCAGGCGCCAGACAAACCCUGACAGCCUAAGAAGGCGUUAGUAAGCAGAACGCGUGUGGAGAGUGAAGGAUCAUGGGAAAACCAUGCAACAUAAGGUCUGUUCUGUUCUUUUAAAAAAAUUAGCCAACUGUGUCUACUCCUCCUGUCCCCUGUCAAGGGUACCCUCUUCCUUCCUUCCUUCCUUCCUUCUUUCCUUCCUUCCUUCUUCCUUUCUUUCUCUUUUUUUUCUCUCGCUCUUUCUUUUGCCUUUUUGAGACAGGGUCUCACUAUGUAGCUCAGGCUGGCCUUGGCCUCAUGUGUAGUUCAAGCUGGCCUUGAACUCACAGUGAUUCCCUGCCUCGGCCUCCCAAGUGCUGGGAUUACAGAUGUGUACCACGAUGCCCAUGAGGUAUCCUUUCCUGUAGCAUCAAGCAUUGUGACACCAGAGGUCAGGGUCGGGUCUCCUAGGUUACAGAGACUGUGGACCAUCCCAGCGCAUAGCUGACAACAAUCCACUCACACCUGGCAGGAGGACAAAGGUGACUGUUGAGAGUCUGGCUAAGCCAGGAACUAGGAUGCACCCAUGCUGCAAAAGGCAGGGCUUCGGAGGGCAGCUCUGGGGCAGAGGUGGCAGCCCUGAACCUUUGGAACUGAGCUGCAAGCCAGAAGGACAAGUGACAGCCGUAGAGGGGCUGAGGAGCCAGCAGAAGCCCCUGUGAGCCCCGGCCUCGCACACAGGUCCUGCCAUGGCUGUGAUGACUCAGGAGCUCCCACACUUCACACUGCCCAGGGCUGGGCGGGGGCGAGCCACUCUAGCUGUGGGUGCUAAUGUGGGUGCCAGGUGGGGUGUGACAAGGGAUGUCAUGUGUCAGCUUAUUUAUAGAGGACUAAAAAUGACAGUGCCUCCCAGAUGCAAUGACUGCACAAAGCCCCACAGUGGCCCAGCGUACCCAAGAGGUGCUUCCCGAAGGUCCUAAAACUUGUAUGGCCUCAUUAGUGAGAGGCACAAGGGACAUCUGUUCUAUUUCUGGACCUUUCUGGUUCCUGCAGAGUAGACCAGGCACCUGGGAGGGACCUGGACUUAGAAGGAAGAAUGGGUGGGGGGAGGGAGAUGGUCAGCUGCCAGGGCAACAGGUGACACAGUGGACUUGUCGCCUGUGGUGGGUGCACCGGGGCUCUUGUUAGAAAGUAGAUUCAGACCCCCAGGCUGUGGGUAAGGCUGAGCACGCACAGUUCUCACAGCUCCCUGGGGCUCUGCUGCUCCUGUUGGGACCGUAUCUGAAGGGGUGUGGAUGGGUGAGGACCGUAGUGUCCCAUGGGCUGGUCAGAGAGAACAGGUGUGGGGGUUUGCAAGGGAGGCAGGCAGGGCCAGUGGGAGGAGCAGCAGGUGAUGCCAGGUGGAGGCCCUGGUGGCCUGGGGGAGGGCCGUGGGCCGGGCUUGGUGUCUGGGUUGGCCUCUGCCUCGAUCUGUCACUUAGUUAGUCUCUCCAGGCGGAGUCUCCCCGCUGGCUGCCUGUGCCAAGGGUCUGAGGGGCGUCUGUCUGUGGCUGCCGUUCCUGUGGAAAGGAGCAGAGGAAGCAGAGAGACCACAGAGACAGGCGAGAGAUGUGUGCUGUGACCACGGGACCAAGGCCAAGCUGCCAGGGCGGCAGCUGGAGAGGCCCUGGGGGAAGAGCUGUUUCUGCAGCGGAGAGAGCCAGAGGGGCCAGCCUGGGGCCUGCACUGUGGAGGAAGGUGACCCUGCCCUGUGGAGGGGGGUCCUCGGGCCCCGCUGAGGAGGGAGGAGACCAAGGCAGGGGCUACCGGCUAGUUCCAGAGUAGAUGCUGGGCAGCGAGGCCGGCCACCAGUGCCUCCUCCCACUAACGUGGCUGCAGGAGCUGCUUUGUGAGCAAGGCCACCCUAAUUGCUCUCGGAGGACCCUUGGCAUCGAGGCUGCGCUGCUCUCCCAAGGCCCUAAAAAGCCUCUCUGCUUUCGGUCUCUUUUCUGUGUCUCCCACCCACUCUUUAACCUGCUGGGAUCGAAGUCCUGUCUUGGAUCUGGGGUCCUGUCUUGAAUCGGGGCUGGCUAAUCAAUGGACGCCUUUCUGGAUUUAGAGUGUUUGGCUCCUGACGUGUACUUGUCAGUUGGCUGUGGACCACUUUCCAGAACAACACUGAAUAAAAGCGACCCACCUGGUGGACUGGCAGGCUGGGUCUGCAUUCUGGCCACAUCACUGCUCCAGGCCUCAGUUUCCACAUUGGCUAGGGGAGGAGGACAGCAUCAGCAUGGCAGGGUUUGCAAGCAAUGGAAUGAGUAACUCAGGGUGCUUGGUGGGGAGCGAUCUGUCCUGAGUACACCACGACUGAUGGCGAUGGUCACAGUGGACAAGUGUAGGGAGUCGGGAGGAAGGUGACAGCCACGGAGAUGCCUUUAAAGGCCAUGAGGAGCACUGUCCUGACGUCUGUAUGACCCACUGCACACACAUUGCCAACAGCACCGCGGCCCUGGGGACAGUCCUUCUCGGCUUCACAGACGAGCCACACGAUCCUGACGAUGAAGAGUGGAACCAGACCAGGACGCAGCUGGGAGCUGUGGAGCAUCAGCGAGAUCCUUAAUUCUGCAGCUCUUCAGCUUCUCAUUUAUAAAGGAAGGACAGGUGGCUUCGUGUUGCAGGAAUCACACACGCUGGCGAUUUAGGGAGGAGAGCUCCCCGCUGCUGUCAUCUACUGCAGCCUCGAUGCUCAGGUUUCUGUGGCUGGUGGUCUGCUCAGUUCUGUACCUGAGAGCCCUCAGGUCACAGCGCUGUCCACGGCUCAGCUGAGGCUGCAGAGCCCUGCGUGGCCUGCUGGUCACCACGGCAGAGUGCAUGGGAUGCCCCUGCCCUUGCUGUGGGCUCUCGUCCUCCAGGCAGCAGGCCAGAUGGGGUUUCCUCAUCACAUCCAUCUCAGGACCCAGCAGCACAGUCAGAUGCUGCGAAUUCUCCGGAGCAGGGGUCUGGGACAGCGUGCACAUGGCCCCUCUGCCACAGUCUUCAAUCCAACAGCCACAGGGCCAGCCCAGCUGGGUGCAGGGACAGGCAUGCCCCACUGCAGAGGGCUGGAGGUGGGGAGGGGUGUUUGUGAGCCACAUGCGGGUGCCCCUGGCUUCCCCCUUCCCACCACCUCCUCUGGCCUCAUCCCAGGGAAGACAACGUUGUCUUUGUGACUCCAGGAUUAUCUGUGCUCCAUCCGAUGGGUGACUGCCGUUUGCUUGUCUGAGUUCCUGCUGUUUAGAGUUAAAAGAAUGGAGAGAGAGAGAGAGAGAGACAGAGACAGUGAGAGACAGUGAGAGACAGAGAGACAGAAAGACAUAUACACAGAAGAGGCAGGGUGUUUUGCGGUGAUGGUGAUGGGUUUCACUAAAGAGUCCUAGAACUGUGGAAGCUAUAUGAGGACGGAAAGAAGAAAGGGGCUGUAAGGCGUAUUUAUUUAUCUUUCUGAGGCAGAAUUUCACUGUGUAGUUCAGGGUGGCCUCAGGCUCAGGGUGAUCCUCCUGCCUCAGCCUGCCAUGCCGAGUGCUGGGAUGACAGGCAUGCACCACCACAAGGAGUUUGCUUUUAAAAUUAAAAAUUAUUUUAAAAUUUCUUGUGACUGCUGGAUCCUAUUUUUGAACCCGACUUUGACUGCAGGUCAGGUCACACUGGGUCUUGGAAUUUGUUUGCGUAGUGCAUGUGUCCUGGGUACACCGGCACGGGCACUGGGUAAGUGAGGUGUGCUCCCAGGGUCUGUCUUACACCCGGCUGCGGCCCCUGCUCCCAGGGUCACCCCACGGGUCCCUCCUGGGGGUCUGUGCGGGGGUCCCCCAUGGUGCAGAGCCCUUUGCACAGUCAAAGUGUGAUUCUGGGCAUCACUGACCUCAAAUUCAAACGUGGCCCAGAAGGUGAUUCCGUUUUGCUCCUUCUCCAAGCCUCCCUGAAGACCACGGAUCCCGAGAAAACUCAGAAACACCAGCAGCGCAGGCAGGGCGCAGCAGCAUUGGCGCAGGAGGGGGUUUUGUGUUUCUUCCACCCUUUCAUUUUUCUACUUGGACAGUGUCGUUUCUUGUCACCGGAGACAAAAAAAUACACUUUAAAACCACCCCGGGGCGUUCACUUCCAAGUGAACAUUUUAAUAAGCAUUUCUAAUGGUACCUGCACUUUUUUCCCUUUGUCCAGUACUGGCCGCGGCUCUUUGCUCCCUCGUGCAAUUUCUCAUGUAAUUUCUGCCUUUCUGCAGGAAUGUAAACCCACGCCGUUGGGGGCAUGGGCUGUUUUCUUUACCACUGAGAAAGUACCUGGCACAAUCAGGGUUUGUUGAAUGAAUGUCAGUAUAUAAGUGAAUUUUUCUUCUGAUUUUUUGUAACAUGGGGACUGUUGCUACCAUAAAAUAUCAAAACGUCAUUGCUUGCCUAGGUUCAUCUCAAGACUUACAAAAACUUAGAAAACAGAAAUAAGAGUUGAAUGUGAGUGUUCUUAAUGAAGCACAGUAAAAAGUACAAAGCUACCUUUAAGGCUAAUUUAGAGCUUUGAAAGACUGCAUAUGACAUGAUUGUGUUGACAGAGAUUGAGAAAAGGGGUCAGAGCACAGAGAGAUAACUGAAGGUGGCAUGCAGGGGUCCCUGAGGCGGAGGGAGGGAGUUCUGGCCACUGGCCCCCAUAGGGAGUGCAGCCUCACCCCAGCUGCGGUCACAGCUCCCAGGCACCUCCUAGCUUGUGUGCUGGGUGCUGCGAGCCCGGGCCUCUUGGGGAGGAGGUCGCCGAGCCUGGCAAGUUCCGAGGCUGGACUUCACUGGCCGGCCUGCGGCCCAUUCAUUGUCUCCACGUGCUGAAACUUAACCAAAGACCAGCAUUUGCCACCCUUCAAGACAUCUUAAUGCACCUCCUGCAGUCUUAAAAGGCCAUUUCUUUCUAAUAAAUUUGUUUUUCCACUGUGGCAGUGUCAUUAAAAUAGGUUUAUAGCUUCUCUUAUAUAGUAAGAAAUUUUAAGGGACAUAGUAAUUCAGACACAUAACUCUAGGAUCUCUGCUGAAGACGAGGUUUUCCUCAAAAAUCCUUUUUUGUAUAUUCAUUCUUAAUGCAAUUGUAAGACUGUUUUACGAUGAAGGCCGGCAUUUUCCAUUCCUAACCAUAGUCUUGUUUUGCUUACACGUGUGAAAAGAGCUUGUUUUAUAUUGUUAAAUUCCCUUUAAUAUUCAAAAACCAUCUUAAGGUUCCUGAAAGGUGAACACAGAGACCAUACUUUUAAGAUGAACUUAUUCGUGGUUCUCAACCCUGGCUGUGCAUUAAAAUCACCUAGAGACGCUUUAGGCGAUACCUACCUACUCCAGCCCGGGAACAGUAAAUCGAGAUCUUUGGGGAAGGUUUCCAUCUCACGCCAAGGAUGCGCACCGCUGAAUUACGGGACCUUCAUAAGAACUUUCAUUGUCUCUUCUCAGCACUGAAGGGAUAGUCAAAGCUCUAAAAACUCAGUUGAAACUUUCUCUUUGAUGGAUUUUAAUUAUUUAAUUUUCUAAAACAUAACUCAAAGUCAUAUAUAUACGUAUACACAUGUAUAUAUAUAUACAUGUAUAUAUAUGUAUCCAUGUAUGUAUAUAUAUAUAUGUACGUAUUUGUGUGAAUAAUGAUUUUUAUUGUUUUUGGAGCUGGGGGUUGCACCUAGGGCUUGUGCGUGUUAAGCAGGCGCUGUACCACUGAAGUACCCCCCAGGCCAUCCCAUGAUUUUGAUGUUAUGUAUAAGUUAUGGAUCGCCUAAAUCAAGCUGAUUAUUAUAUGCAUAACAUCACAUAUUUAGCAUUUACUUUCAGUGAGUACAUUUGAAUUUACUCUUUGGUUCUUUUCAUUUAAAAUAAAUAAUGAUAUAAACGUGGGAAAUAAAAGUAGCAGUACAUACCGAAGUCACUGCAGUACUAAGGGGGGCCCGGGGGGCCAGGCAGGAGCUGGCCUGGGUGGAGGUCAGGAGGCCGUGUGGUCCAUGGAGCCCUCAGCAUCUGAGCUCUGGAGCUGGUGGACAAGGAUUCUCAUCUCCGGGUCUUUCUGAGCUGGCACAACCUCUGCCCGAGAGCUGCUGCUGGCCCUGCAGCCUUUCUCUCUGCCUCAGUGGGCUUGGGAUGCCACGGACGUCAGAGGACGGCAGGCUUGGGGAUCAGCCUCGGUGUGCGUCCGGCCAGGAGCUGAGGAAGAGGUGAAGCAGAGCGGGGGAGGCACUUGACCUCUUCUCCCAGCUCGGGGAGCAGCUCCUCAGCCGCCCCUCCCUCAGGACGCAGACCGGCUUUCUCACCCCAGGCCUGUGCUUUUCUCCCUGGUAAGGAGGACACUUCAGGAGUUCUCCCAUGGGAAUCUCCUCCCUUAGAGGGGCAACACUGGGUCCUGACACCGAGGAGACUCACACAUGGCGUUAUAGACGACAGGAUGGGUUCUGUCGAGGCUAAGAGGGUUGUCCUAGGGUGACUGACUGCCUUUGUUUUGCUUCUGGUCUCUACUUUCUUGAGUCACAAAGUGCAUGAAAGGGGACCUUGCCUGGCCAGGAAUCAGCCUGGUUUUGGGCAUUUCUAGUGGCUGGGAAGGUGCAGCACUGAAGUCCUCCUGAAAGUCCCUCUUCAUCUCUCUAGUUUCUUGGAGAUUCCACAAUAGAGGGGGGUGACCCUGCCUACCCCGUUGGGUGGAGGUGUAUGCCACACAGGAGCUCGGGUCUAGGAGCCGACUGUCUGGAAAAGCUGGCACUGGGGGCUUCCUCAGGAAGGGCAGCCUCGAUGCCUGCCCUGAACACCCUGGCUGGACUUCUGCAAGGCUCCCAGCUGAGUGGUUUUCAGUAGUGGCCAGGCUAGGGCCUUCGUGUGCUGAGCUUCCUGGUGUCUCCAGGUGCCUGGGGGGUGGACCGGGGAAGACUUCCUCUGGGCUCCUUGGUGUCAUGUCUCCCUUGGAGGCUUGGCCGUGGGUGACCUCUGCUGGGGCCUGGGGUAUGACUGGGUGCCUCACUGCCAGCCCUGGGAAGACCUCCACUGGGCUUCUUACUGGCCCCAGAUGCCUUGUGGCCAGUCGUGAGGCGUGCUGUCCUGGGUCCUUGGCGUGGCUGGGCUCCUGGUGGCCAUGUCUGGGGAAACCUGCUCAGGGCUGCCCUGGACAGUCGGGUGGUAUCUGGAUGGAGUCAGUCAUCUUCCCAGUGGUUCAUAGAUGCCUUCCCCACCUGAGGUCCUGAGGCUGCAGCUUCGGGAAGGGCAGAAGCAGCUGCUGACCUUCUCUGGCCAAGUGAGCUCAGGAGGGAGUAGCUGUCACUAGAUUGUCAUACCUGUUAACGAGAGUUCCAAGUUCUUUUUGGACCGGUUGCCCAAGAAAUGAGGUCAUGUCUUGAAGUCCACAAUCUGAACGAUUACCUCUGAUAUGAAGACCCGAUGGCCCAUCUUUGUCUUUAUAGCAAAAUAAAUCUGUGACUAUUUAUUGUAUUAUUUUUAUUCAUCUGUCCUCUCCAUCCACCUGCCUAUCUGUCUGUCUGUCUAUCUAUCUAUCUAUCUAUCUAUCUAUCUAUCUAUCUAUCUAUCAUGAAUAUAACCGGGCAUCCGUGUGUCUAGCUAGCUCGUUAGCGAUCCUCUGUUAUUUACUUUUACAGUUACUGAGUCUUGAGCCCAGCAUCCUCAGACUUUUUCUUUCUGAAAGAUUUUCAAGAAUAAAGUACCUUGUUCUUAAUUAUCAUCACCAUGUUGUAAGAUGGUGGUCUUAAAUUUUUCCUUCUCUCCAAGCAACAUGCUAUGUCCUUCGAUCAAUUUCUUCUUACCCUGCCAUGCUAGCCCUGGUAAGUACCUUCUGCUGCCUAGUUCUGAACCCAAGUGUGUUAGAGUGCACAUGUCAAUGUGAACACGUGGUGCUUAUCUUUUGUGACUGGCUUAUUUUACUUUAUUAGUUAGGUUCAUCUAUACUGAGGACUCCCCUCUUCUGCUCCCCCUUCAUCUCUUGUGGGACUGCAUCCUCAGCCCUUUUAUUUCUUCUAUUUUGAGACAGUGUCCUGCUAAGGCACUUGUCUUGCUAACUGCCCAGGCUGGCUUACGCUUAGAAUCUUCCUCUCUCAAUCUCCUGGAAUGCAAGGAUUACAGGCAAGCGCCGCCAUGCCCAGCUUCUAUUGAUGGACACUAGUUCGAUUUUGAUUUUACGUUUUGCUUAUUAUGACUUGUGCUGAAUUGAACAUGGGAGUGAAAAUAUUUUUCAACAUACAGAUUUCAUAUCCUUGGGAUAAAUACCCAGAAGUGGGACUGCUGCUGGCUUAUGCUAUAGUUCUGUUUUUGGUUUUUUAAGGCCUCGAACUGUCCACCAUGGUGGCUGCACUGAUUUGCAUUCCCACCCAGGGCACCAGGGCCCUCUUUCACAGCCUCACCCUUGCUUCUCUAGGUGGAGGUCGCCCUGGACAUUCACCGACAGGUGUGCAGCUGUCUUCUACAGGGUGAAAACCAUCCACCAGCAGAGUCCCAGGGAGCCCAAAGCUGCUGACCCUGAAUGUAGGUCAUCCUCAGCUGCUCUGGAUCCUCUAGAAAGGAGCAUUGAUCCUGGCUUCUGGUGUUAGCCUUUGGCUGAUGCUUGCCUGGAUUCUGCUCAUUUGAGGCCUCUUCCUUUGGACACUCAGGUCCUUGGCCCACUCUGCUUUCUUUGCACUACUACACGAUUGACAUAAAAAGGAACUUUCUCAUGGUUGUUAUAAAGGCCUUGAGCCUGUAUGAUCAGGGGCAACCCCUGUCCAUCUGCACCUGUGUUGAACACCCCUCUGGGUGCCUGACCUUGCUGAAUUUUGAUGGUAUGAGGGAAGAAUGGUAUCAACAUUUAUUGAGUGCUAUGUACUUGCAUUUGUGAUCUUAUUUAAUCCUCAUGUCAGCCUAAUGAAGUUUAUAUCUUGGUCCUAUUUGUUUGGGAAAGAAACUGAAUCUCAGAAAAGUUAAGUAAAUUGUAUAGCCAACCUCAGAAUUCUACCAUUGCAACUCAAUGUUUUCUGCACAUUAUUGCAUCUUUCAAUGUUUAAAAUAGACAAGGUAGACAAGAACAUUGUGAAUUUCCAGUGGUUUUGAGGGACACUGGGAGAAUGAAUUACUAAUCAGCCCACAAUUUGUAGGUAACUCCCAGCUGGGAGGAAGUUACUGUGGUGACUGGUGGAUAACAUUUAGGGCAGUAGUAGAGAUGCUGGGGAGUUAGAACUGAUAAAGAGUGCUCUAGUUUCCUGUGGGACCCAAAAUAGAGAAUUCAGUGUGGUUUCCUGGGGGGAAGUGAGUUGUAUUUUGAGAUCUGUAAUAAGAGUUGAUUGCAAAGUGGCUGGGUUCAUGGUGGACCUGAAUAUAGAAUCUUUCAGAAUGUGUUCAUGUCAAAAAAGGGUAUUCAGGAGUCAAUAAAAUACAUUCCAUAGAGCAAGAUAGCAGAUAGAUAAGUAGCAAGUACCCUGAGGUAUGAGCAGGGACAGUGCAGGCUCUGGGGGUCUUCACCAUGUUAGUGUGUGCUGCAUGGUCAGAACCAGUUCAGGACAACUUCAGGGGUUUCUCUGAGAGAAACAGCUCAGAUGAUAGAAUUUAACAGCAUGGAGAAGACCAGACAAAAGGGGAGGGAUUCUCAUGACCCAGGAAGAAACUAAGGAAAAAGAAAAAAGAAAAACAUGGUAGAAGGCUGGAGCUCUCACCAGAUGUGCUCUCACCAGAGCCGGUCCAACUUGUAGUUGUGUGGAAGUCAGGGAUUGGUGAGCCCGAGGACUUCAGUGGGAGGAUGCAUCACAACGGAGAAUUGAGCUGGCAUGGAGAUCUGCACUGGCCCACAGUGAGUGCUUGGAAUUGGUGCUCCAGCAGAAAGAGGAGACCAGCUGGGCAACUUCUUGGAAUUGGGCAGGACGGGCCUGAACUCGGAACUGUAGUGGCUUCAGUUGGUUGCUCGUGGUGAGGAGCAUAUUGUUGGAAAUGGCUUGGACUGGGUCCUGCCCCUGAGUGGGACCCAGAAGCCAGGGACAAACUUACCCCUGAAGUUGUCCUGAACUGGUUCUGACCAUGCAGCACACACGGUGAACAUGGUGAAGACCCCCAGAGCCUGCACUGUCCCUGCUCAUACCUCAGUGAUUAACAGCAAACUGGAGAGGGCAGAAAUCCCUAGCCAGCACACUUCAGAAAAACCAUAACCAACAAGGAAAGGGGCUGGGACCUCCACCAUACACCUGUAUGAAAGAAACCAGAAACAUGACAAGAGGAAGAAAGAAGAAAAAGCCUCUAGCUGUCAACCCAGAGAAUAUAGGUCCAGGAGAGGUAAACACAGAAGAGACUGAGGGCAAGCAAACAUGCAAUAUCAGAAGCAGCAUCAGCUGACAUAAAGUAACAUCUUCCUGACAUUAUAGAUGAACUCAAAACUGAAAUAAUAAUAUAAGUUAAGCAAGAUAUAAGAAGAUUAAUAAAAGAAAUGCUAAACACUUCCCAAGAAGACAGAUGGAAAAAUGGAGGAGCACAGAAAAAGGAGGGAAACCUUUGAAGAAGAAUAUAAAAAAAUAUAGAAUACAUGAACACGACACACUUCUCAACACAAACCAUCAAAUAAACAAAAGCUUGGAGCAAAAUAUUUCAAUCCCUGAAAGAAAAUAAACUCCAACCCAGAUUUAUGUACCCUAAAAAACUCUCUCAAAAUUAAUGAGAAACAAGAUGUUUCCAUGACAAAGAGGAACUGUAGGAGUUCAUGACCACCAAUCCAACCCUACAAAAAAUACCAAAAGAUCAGAGAGAGAGAGAGAGAGAGAGAGAGAGAGAGAGAGAGAGAGAGAGGAGAAGGGAAAAGAGGAGAGGAGAGGAGAGGAGAGAGAAACACCAGGGUUUCAGAAACAGUGGUAGAGAAGCCUCAAUGAAUGGGGAAGACAGUGGAAUGAAGGGGAAAAGUAGACAACCAAUGACAGAAAAAUAGCAUAGCAGAGAUGAGGCAGAGACGGUGGUUAUAAUCUUUAACACAGAUGGCCUUGAUACACUAACAAAAAGAAACACAGGCAGAGUAGAUCAGGAGAUAGGGUCCAUCGAGAUGCUCUGCAUAGGAAAUAUAAUCAACCUGAAAGAGGGUUUAUAGUCUGAAAGUCAAAAAUGAGAAAAUAAUGCUCUGUGUGACAGAGAACCAGAGAGAAAUAGGGACAACUCGUCCAGCACCUGCAGAUAGGUUGGAAAGACAUGACACUUUAGUGCAGUGGAGAACUACUCAGCUAUAAGGAAGGAAAACGGUUGAGGCCUUUAUAGGUAAAGGAAUACAACUUAAGAUCAAGCCCAGGGGUAAAAAGGUUCAGAACCACUUUAGGUAAAUAGCAGGUUGCCUCCCUAAUCUAAAAAUUAAAGGAGUUAGUGGGAUCCAAAAUGUAUAAUGCACCUGUGAAAGUGAAAGGGGAGGAAUUGUCUAAAAAAGGAAGGCAGAGGACAUUGUUAAUGAUUUAAAACCUACAUUGUUCUCAUCGCUCUGUUUAGUUUGUUCCAGUCUGUUCCAGUCUGUCUACUUAUACUAGACUUAGGGCACAGACAGCUUUUCCAAAAAUAGCAGGAUAUACUGUGGUAACCAUCCUUAAUUUCUUAUUAACUUACUCUGAAGCCCUGUAUUACUUAAACUGUCUUAUUAUGGCUGAUCUUAUUUGAAUCUGGUUUGUUAGAUCGCUGUCUUGUCUUGACUGAUUUUAUCCAAAUCUGUUAUGUUUGAUAGUAUCAAGUCUGAGAGUACAGGCAACUACUCUGAAGAUGAUAAGAUUCACUAGGAUACCCGUUCUCGUUUGACUAUUACCUGCUUUUGAAGUCUUAUAAUGUCUGCAAUGUUUUGUUUUUAAUUGAUAUUGUUCUGUUCUGUACUGUUAUGUUCAAUUUUACUAUGCUUGAUGAUAUAGACAAUUCUAUGGAAGAUAACAAAAGACAUCAUAGUAACCAUUGUAGAUCACCUUGUAUUGUGGUUUUAAUCAUGUGCUACACCCAUCCUUUUGUUUUGAAUGACUCUGUUUUGUGUCAUUUCUCAUUUGAUUUUGUUCUUUUCAAAAUAAAAAUUUAAAAAAUACACUCCAUAUACAUUCUUCAUGGGAUGUGUGUGUACGUGUAUGUGUGUGUGUGCACCCACACAGAAGAGGGUGGGGACAGUAGGGGAUGGCACUGGAGAGGGAUGCUGGGACACAAUUAUGCAGGGUCAUAAGCCAAAAAAACCUCUGAGGUUUAUUAGAAGAGUAACAAAGAAUUAGUCACAGUGUAAAUAAAGAAAUAAAAUGAUGCAUUUGUUAUUUUAAAAAUUAUCUGGACAGCAGUGUCAGAUCAGAUACAAUAGAGACUGUGGCCAGGAGUCAGUUAGAAGGUCACAGAAAUCUGGGCGCACUGUGAUAAGCCCCAGCCAGGGAAUGGCUGGGCAGCCAGGGAGUGGACCCUACUGGGCAUGAGGGGCAGUGGGGAGGACACUCAGGUAGCUGGUCAUCCUUGGAGCUGGUUCAGGUGGGGGCAGAUGACACUGACAUUGACUGGGCCAUCCUGUGUAGGGAGCCUCAGUAAGUGGUGGAAUGGGACCGUCACUAGGAGGCUGGGUGUGCAGCUCUGCUGGCCGAGGGCGGGCUUACGGUUUGGGAAGACAAGAGAACACAAGUGUCAGUUGGAGCACUCAGGGAACACAUGCGAAGGAAAAUGAGAGCCCUAGCCUGCAAUUUUAACGUGACUAACAUGUUAAGUGUGGGUACAGGAUGAGAAGGCCAGGAAGAAAACUUUGAAGAAGUGGGCAGAGUUGCUAAAGAAGGAAUAAGAGAUCACAGUGUCAUGAAAUCCAGUCAAGAGACUAUUGUAAGCCUAAGGAAGUGGUUAAGGUGCUGAGCUGCUGAGAGGCAGGUAGACAGGGAUGGGCUGCCAUUUUGACCGGCACAUGAAGGUUCUUGUUGACCUUGACGAAGCAGGUCUGAGGUGAGGGCAGAGGCCAGGUGGAUUUCGAGGGAGGAGAAAAAGUGAGUAAAGAAAGAUGUUUUAAGAGGCUGAAGGGAAGAGGGCAACAGCUGGGCUGUGAGAAUCUGAGGGAGAUCUUGGCAGUUGUGUGUGGGGCGUUAGGAUGAA
Long non-coding RNA from Cavia porcellus (domestic guinea pig), 13339 nucleotides. RefSeq lists it as uncharacterized. The transcript is spliced from 3 exons. The record is from RefSeq and is a predicted model, not a curated record. NCBI's taxonomy places the organism in Eukaryota, Metazoa, Chordata, Mammalia, Rodentia, Caviidae.